UUAGAGUUUGAUCCUGGCUCAGAUUGAACGCUGGCGGCAUGCCUUACACAUGCAAGUCGAACGGCAGCGCGGGGGCAACCCUGGUGGCGAGUGGCGAACGGGUGAGUAACAUAUCGGAACGUGCCCUGGAGUGGGGGAUAACUAGUCGAAAGAUUAGCUAAUACCGCAUACGAUCUAAGGAUGAAAGCAGGGGACCGCAAGGCCUUGUGCUCCUGGAGCGGCCGAUAUCUGAUUAGCUAGUUGGUGGGGUAAAGGCCUAUCAAGGCAUCGAUCAGUAGCUGGUCUGAGAGGACGACCAGCCACACUGGAACUGAGACACGGUCCAGACUCCUACGGGAGGCAGCAGUGGGGAAUUUUGGACAAUGGGCGCAAGCCUGAUCCAGCAAUGCCGCGUGAGUGAAGAAGGCCUUCGGGUUGUAAAGCUCUUUUGUCAGGGAAGAAACGGUGGAGGUUAAUACCUUCUGCUAAUGACGGUACCUGAAGAAUAAGCACCGGCUAACUACGUGCCAGCAGCCGCGGUAAUACGUAGGGUGCAAGCGUUAAUCGGAAUUACUGGGCGUAAAGCGUGCGCAGGCGGUUGUGCAAGACAGAUGUGAAAUU
This 600-nucleotide ribosomal RNA is filed under the name bacterium enrichment culture clone F61x_D68_T3_D09. Its description in RNAcentral is "bacterial SSU rRNA". It matches the Rfam family "Bacterial small subunit ribosomal RNA", at positions 1 to 601 of the family's 1533-position model. The record is from RNAcentral.